AUAACCAUACAUUCAUAUAUCCAUACACCAUUCACUACAGGUUCAUAUACAGAGAUUUGAACAUAAAUGCACAACUAUUAGUUGAAAUAUUUCCUACUCGGAAACUUAUUUUGAAAUACUAAUUUAUGAAAACCACGAGAAAACCUUUUUAAAACCGUUUCUCACACGGAAAUCCUUUUUCUUCUUUAAACACGCUACCACGAGG
RNAcentral lists this long non-coding RNA (205 nucleotides) under Ananas comosus (pineapple). Its description in RNAcentral is "long non-coding RNA (ACOM_LNC041542)". The record is from RNAcentral. Lineage: Eukaryota; Viridiplantae; Streptophyta; Magnoliopsida; Poales; Bromeliaceae.